Molecule: transfer RNA, 72 nt
Filed under: Urocitellus parryii (Arctic ground squirrel)
Lineage: Eukaryota; Metazoa; Chordata; Mammalia; Rodentia; Sciuridae
Also listed under: 2 other names
Description: Spermophilus parryii (Arctic ground squirrel) tRNA
Rfam family: tRNA
About the family: Transfer RNA (tRNA) molecules are approximately 80 nucleotides in length.
Source: Rfam by way of RNAcentral
UGGGUUGUAGCUCAGUGGUAGAGCCCUUGCCUAGCAUGUGUAAGGCACUGGGUUUGAUCCCCAGCACCACAU